GUAAGGGAUAUUGCACAAUGGGCGAAAGCCUGAUGCAGCAACGCCGCGUGGAGGAUGAAGGCUUUCGGGUCGUAAACUCCUUUUUGACCUGACGAGGAAGGACGGUAGGGUCAGAAUAAGUCACGGCUAACUACGUGCCAGCAGCCGCGGUAAAACGUAGGUGGCGAGCGUUAUCCGGAUUUACUGGGCGUAAAGCGUGUGCAGGCGGGCUGCCAAGUGGUGUAUGAAAGGUCCGAGCUCAACUCGGAUAGGUUAUGCCAGACUGGCAGUCUUGAGUACGAGAGAGGGGCGUGGAAUUCCGGGUGUAGUGGUGAAAUGCGUAGAGAUCCGGAGGAACCCCAGAGGCGAAGGCGGCGCCCUGGCUCGAUACUGACGCUCAGACACGACAGCAUGGGGAGCGAACGGGAUUAGAAACCCUGGUAGUCC
RNAcentral lists this ribosomal RNA (426 nucleotides) under uncultured bacterium. Its description in RNAcentral is "bacterial SSU rRNA". It matches the Rfam family "Bacterial small subunit ribosomal RNA", at positions 354 to 796 of the family's 1533-position model. The record is from RNAcentral.